GACGAACGCUGGCGGCGUGCUUAACACAUGCAAGUCGAACGGUAAGGCCCUGCUUCUGUGGGGUGCUCGAGUGGCGAACGGGUGAGUAACACGUGAGUAACCUGCUCUUGACUUUGGGAUAACUUCAGGAAACUGGGGCUAAUACCGGAUAGGAGCUCCUGCUGCAUGGUGGGGGUUGGAAAGUUUCGGCGGUUGGGGAUGGUCUCGCGGCUUAUCAGCUCGUUGGUGGGGUAGUGGCAUACCAAGGCUUUGACGGGUAGACGGCCUGAGAGGGCGACCGGCCACAUCGGGACUGAGGUACGGCCCAGACACGUACGGGAGGCAAUAGUUGGGAAUCUGGCACAAUAGUGGGGAGCCUGAUGCUGCGACCCCGCGUUCGGGAUAUCGGCCUUCGGGUUGUAGACCGCGUUCGCCUGAAACGGUGCGCGAGUGACGGUAAAGGGUAAAGAAGCACCGGCUAACUACGUG
Molecule: ribosomal RNA, 468 nt
Filed under: uncultured bacterium
Lineage: Bacteria
Description: partial 16S ribosomal RNA
Rfam family: Bacterial small subunit ribosomal RNA
Source: RNAcentral